RNAcentral lists this transfer RNA (72 nucleotides) under Marmota monax (woodchuck). RNAcentral describes it as "tRNA.Ala". It matches the Rfam family "tRNA". Rfam says of the family: Transfer RNA (tRNA) molecules are approximately 80 nucleotides in length. Their secondary structure includes four short double-helical elements and three loops (D, anti-codon, and T loops). The record is from RNAcentral. Lineage: Eukaryota; Metazoa; Chordata; Mammalia; Rodentia; Sciuridae.
GUGGGGCGUGGCUCAGCAGUAGAGCACUUGCCUAGCAUGCAUGAGGCCCUGGGUUCAAUCCCAGCACCUACA